Molecule: ribosomal RNA, 497 nt
Filed under: uncultured bacterium
Lineage: Bacteria
Description: partial 16S ribosomal RNA
Rfam family: Bacterial small subunit ribosomal RNA
Source: RNAcentral
GAUGAACGCUGGCGGCGUGCCUAAUACAUGCAAGUCGAGCGAACAGACGAGGAGCUUGCUCCUCUGACGUUAGCGGCGGACGGGUGAGUAACACGUGGAUAACCUACCUAUAAGACUGGGAUAACUUCGGGAAACCGGAGCUAAUACCGGAUAAUAUAUUGAACCGCAUGGUUCAAUAGUGAAAGACGGUUUUGCUGUCACUUAUAGAUGGAUCCGCGCCGCAUUAGCUAGUUGGUAAGGUAACGGCUUACCAAGGCAACGAUGGGUAGCCGACUUGAGAGGGUGAUCGGCCACACUGGAACUGAGACACGCUCCAGACUCCUACGGGAGGCAGCAGUAGGGAAUCUUCCGCAAUGGGCGAAAGCCUGACGGAGCAACGCCGCGUGAGUGAUGAAGGUCUUCGGUUCGUAAAACUCUGUUAUUAGGGAAGAACAAAUUUGUAAGUAACUAGGCACGUCUUGACGGUACCUAAUCAGAAAGCCACGGCUAACUACGUG